CUACGGGAGGCACCAGUGGGAAAUAUUGCACAAUGGGCGCAAGCCUGAUGCAGCCAUGCCGCGUGUAUGAAGAAGGCCUUCGGGUUGUAAAGUACUUUCAGCGGGGAGGAAGGGAGUAAAGUUAAUACCUUUGCUCAUUGACGUUACCCGCAGAAGAAGCACCGGCUAACUCCGUGCCAGCAGCCGCGGUAAUACGGAGGGUGCAAGCGUUAAUCGGAAUUACUGGGCGUAAAGCGCACGCAGGCGGUUUGUUAAGUCAGAUGUGAAAUCCCCGGGCUCAACCUGGGAACUGCAUCUGAUACUGGCAAGCUUGAGUCUCGUAGAGGGGGGUAGAAUUCCAGGUGUAGCGGUGAAAUGCGUAGAGAUCGGGAGGAAUACCGGUGGCGAAGGCGGCCCCCUGGACGAAGACUGACGCUCAGGUGCGAAAGCGUGGGGAGCAAACAGGAUUAGAUACCCCUGUAGUC
Molecule: ribosomal RNA, 464 nt
Filed under: uncultured bacterium
Lineage: Bacteria
Description: partial 16S ribosomal RNA
Rfam family: Bacterial small subunit ribosomal RNA
Source: RNAcentral